Molecule: ribosomal RNA, 256 nt
Filed under: uncultured bacterium
Lineage: Bacteria
Description: partial small subunit ribosomal RNA
Rfam family: Bacterial small subunit ribosomal RNA
Source: RNAcentral
AGGACGAACGCUGGCGGCGUGCUUAACACAUGCAAGUCGAGCGGAAAGGCCCUUCGGGGUACUCGAGCGGCGAACGGGUGAGUAACACGUGAGCAACCUGCCCUUAGCUCUGGGAUAGCUCCGGGAAAACCGGAAUUAAUACCGGAUACUACACCGGCUGGCAUCGGCUGGUGUGGAAAGAUUUAUCGGCUAAGGAUGAGCUCGCGGCCUAUCAGCUUGUUGGUGAGGUAACGGCUCACCAAGGCGACGACGGGUA